This 828-nucleotide ribosomal RNA is filed under the name Triticum aestivum (bread wheat). RNAcentral's name for it is "partial small subunit ribosomal RNA". The record is from RNAcentral. Lineage: Eukaryota; Viridiplantae; Streptophyta; Magnoliopsida; Poales; Poaceae.
UUGUCUUUGUGUGAGCUUCUGCAGGUCCCUUUCAGCAUUGAAGAUCCAGAUUACAAGGGGCUUGAGCUGGAUGUGAUGUCUCCAUGUGAGAAGGACGGCAUGGCAUCUGAGAGGCUUGUUGCCUUUGAAGGAACAGACACAGGCAGGCGGUUUUUAGCAUGUGCACAGCCGGCAGGUAGCAAUUGUGGCUUUGUUGAAUGGGUUGAUCACCAGUGGAAUGCAUUGUUGAAGCUAUGGGCAAUGGUUGAAGAUGCCAAAACUGCUAGGGUGAAUGACAAUCUUGAAAGUUCUUUCACUAUCCACCAUCUGACAGAAGAGAAGAACAAGCUGGAUGCCAACUAUGACAAGCUAGUCCAAGAUGUGCAUGAGCUGAUGAACUUCCAGGAAGAUAAGGUGGUGGAUUUCAGACAUCUGCAGUCUGCCAUUACAUAUCAGCAGGAGGUAAGAAAAGAACUGAUUGAUGAUAUGAAGGCACAGAUGGCAAGUGAGAUGGCAAAGAAAGAUGAAGAGACCCAGAAACUUACUCUCAAGUAUGAGCUGCUGCUCAACCUGACAAGAGCUCAAGCAACAGUCAUUCAGAACUUGAAGCUGAACAAAAUGAAAGAGAAGCAAGUGCUUACUGAAGCUAGUAUGAAUUUGGAGCUGAAGAAUGCAGAGCUAACAAAGUGUCAGGAGAAGCUCACCCAAGAGAAGCUAGAGUUGAAGCUUGAGGUUGCUGAUCUGCUUAAGGGAAAUGAAAAGCAUAUUGAAGAGAAGUGGCAGUUAGAGUUUCAGAAUGAAAAGUUGAAGGAGAAGUUCAGGGGGAUUCAGGCCAUCUUGGAGAAGUGA